RNAcentral lists this long non-coding RNA (2026 nucleotides) under Homo sapiens (human). Its description in RNAcentral is "HSALNT0370419". The record is from RNAcentral. Lineage: Eukaryota; Metazoa; Chordata; Mammalia; Primates; Hominidae.
CACAAGGGGAGAGUGCCACAGGGAUCCAGCAAGGCCAUCUGGCUGGUGUCACGGAGACACACACAGGCCACCCGGAUGAUGUCACAGAGACAGAUAGUGUCACAUUGACUGUCCAGGCUCCUAGGGGAAGUGUCACACACAGUCUGAUUUACAGUGUCCUGGGACAGUGUCUCCAUUCACUCACAGGGUCACCUGGACCGUGCCUUGCAGACACAUCCACAGUGUUACAGAGAUACACACGGAGUCCCAAACAGAUAGAGAAGAGAGUGUCUGCAGGACAGCAGCAGCAGACAGUGGCACAGACACAGAUAAUUGCAGGAAAUCAUUGGUUGGUGUGAAGUGGGAGGUUGGAGAGGCAGCCUCUGUCCCCGACCUGACCAGAGCAUCUUCUGGCAGAUCCUACCCGCCUGUCCCUCACUCUUCUCUGUCUCCUUCUGGGGCUGAUGAGCCACCCCCUCCAGAAUCCUCAGCCAGGACUCCCGCCAGCUGUCCUGGCACUGCUCUGGAUGUAGCAGGGAACACCGGGAGCAGGACGGUUCUGGUUCAAAUCUCAACUUUGGCAAUUAUUCACUGUGUGACUGCAGACACAUCAUUUAACCUCCCUCAGCCUCAGCUAAAAAAAACAGACUAGAACUUAUGAUCUGCAUCACAGGCUGCUUACGAGACAAAACAGACCAGGUGCCAUGGCUUACUCCUAUAAUCCCAGCACUUUGGGAGGCCAAGUCAGGAGGAUCACUUGAAGCCAGGAGUUCAAGACCAGCCUGGGCAACAUAGUGAGACCCUGUCUCUACAAAACAAUAAAAAAUACAAAAUUAGCCAGGUGUGGUAGUGUGUGCCCUGUAGUUCCAGUUACUUGGGAGGCUGAGGCAGGAGGAUUGCUUGAGCCCAAAGUUGGGAGGCUGCAGUGAGCUAUGAUGGUACCACUGCACUCCAUCUUGGGUGACAGAGUGAGACCCUAUCUCUAAACAGCAAACAAAAAAGAUGAAAACAUGCUGGGUGCGGUGGCUCAUGCCUGUAAUCCCAGCACUUUGGGAGGCUGAGACAGGUGGAUCACCUGAGGUCAGGAGUCCCAAACCAGCCUGGCCAACAUGGUGAAACCCAUUUCUACUAAAAAUACAAAAAUUAGCCAGAUGUGGUGGCUCACACCUGUAAUCCCAGCUACUCAGGAGGCUGAGGCAGGAGAAUAACUGGAACCCGGGGAGCAGAGGUUGCAGUGAGUCAAGAUCGUGCCACUGCACUCCAGCCUGGGCAACAGAGUGAGAUUCCGUCUCACACAUACACACACACACACACACACACACACACACACACACACAGACUGAAAACAAAAGAAGGCAUUUUAAUACUAAUUUAAAAUAUGACCUCUACAGCUAAUAACAGCAACUCCAGCAGCUAACGCUAAACGAGGGCUUUGCCACAUUCCAGGUACUGUUCAGAGUGUCUGAUAGGUACUAUGAUUAGUCCCCUUGUAUAGAAAGGGAAACUGAGGUUCUGGCCUGAGGUCACACAGCGAGAGGCAGAGCCCCAAUCUCUGCUCAGUGUGUAAGAAGCUGAUCACCACCUCAUGCUGUGUCACCAGGCCCAGGUGAGUGUCCUGCAUAGAGCAAUGUCCAAGGAGCCAGCUCUCCACUGUGCCCAUCUUGGAAGCGGUAAGGAGGUGGGGGUGGGUGUCAGGGGUGGGACAGGGCUCAGGGGCAGCACCCAGGGCUUUCCUCUCUAAGUCCCCUUGUCCCAAAACUCAGGGCCUUCCUCAAAGAGCCCGAGGGAAUUCUCCGGCUGGGUAAACUCAGGGUCCCCAGGAGCCUCUCCAGCCCCCACAGUCAUUAAUCAUAACUGAACUCUCCUGGAUGAAGUUUCCCAUCCCUUUGGGGUUUCUGUCUCCCAGUAUCACUUAAUAUAUACCCUCAUCGGGCCAUAUAUACCUGCUCCUAAUAAACCUCUAUGACUUUAAUGAACUAAAUAGCAAAUUACUUUUUUAUUCAAGAAUGAAAUUUCAUCAUAUUCAUAAUUCAUAUUUUAUUUCAGA